This 243-nucleotide long non-coding RNA is filed under the name Olea europaea (common olive). RNAcentral's name for it is "long non-coding RNA (OEUR_LNC011332)". Lineage: Eukaryota; Viridiplantae; Streptophyta; Magnoliopsida; Lamiales; Oleaceae. The record is from RNAcentral.
GUUCGAGAUAUUAGCCAAGUGAGCACUUUAGUCCUGUCUUGCUUCAGCUUUUAUUCUUCCUGCACAUUGUAUGAAAUCAUCUCAUUUAGAGUCCACUUUUCUUUUUGACAGUUGUAACUGACCUUGAAUUGAUUGUAUUGUCAGGAAGAGAAAUCAAAACCAAAUGCACGAGCAAAUCAUUAGAUAGUUCAAACUUUAGUACCUCCAAUUUUGAAGUAAUAUGAGACACCUCCAUUAUGUACU